Molecule: ribosomal RNA, 305 nt
Filed under: uncultured bacterium
Lineage: Bacteria
Description: bacterial SSU rRNA
Rfam family: Bacterial small subunit ribosomal RNA
Source: RNAcentral
GAGCCUACGGGAGGCAGCAGUGAGGAAUAUUGGUCAAUGGGCGGAAGCCUGAACCAGCCAAGUCGCGUGAGGGAAGAAGGUACAGCGUAUCGUAAACCUCUUUUGUCAGGGAACAAAGGCGGGGACUAGUCCCCGGAUGAGGGUACCUGAAGAAAAAGCAUCGGCUAACUCCGUGCCAGCAGCCGCGGUAAUACGGAGGAUGCGAGCGUUAUCCGGAUUUAUUGGGUUUAAAGGGUGCGCAGGCGGCCGUUUAAGUCAGCGGUAAAAGCCCGGGCCUCAACCCCCGCCAGCCGUUGAAACUGGCG